GCACGCUUUGGCAGGGCAUAUACUAAAAUCGAAAUGAUACAGAGAAGAUUAGCCUGGCCCCUGCACAAGGAUGACAUGCAAAUUCAUGAAGCAUUCCGUAUUUUU
Molecule: small nuclear RNA, 105 nt
Organism: Sorex fumeus (smoky shrew)
Lineage: Eukaryota; Metazoa; Chordata; Mammalia; Eulipotyphla; Soricidae
Source: RefSeq, a predicted model, not a curated record